Molecule: ribosomal RNA, 372 nt
Filed under: uncultured organism
Description: bacterial SSU rRNA
Rfam family: Bacterial small subunit ribosomal RNA
Source: RNAcentral
CAUGGGGUGCAAACGUUGCUCGGAAUCAUUGGGCGUAAAGCGCGCGUAGGCGGUUACUUAAGUCGGAUGUGAAAGCCUUCGGCUUAACUGAGGAAGUGCAUCCGAAACUGAGUAGCUAGAGUACGAAAGAGGGUCGCGGAAUUCCCGGUGUAGAGGUGAAAUUCGUAGAUAUCGGGAGGAACACCGGUGGCGAAGGCGGCGACCUGGGUCGAGACUGACGCUGAUGCGCGAAAGCGUGGGGAGCAAACAGGAUUAGAUACCCUGGUAGUCCACGCCGUAAACGAUGGGUGCUAGAUGUUUCUGGUAUUGACCCCGGAGGCGUCGUAGCUAACGCGUUAAGCACCCCGCCUGGGGAGUACGGCCGCAAGGCUA